Triticum aestivum (bread wheat) is the source of this 4248-nucleotide long non-coding RNA. RefSeq lists it as uncharacterized. The transcript has 6 exons. The record is from RefSeq and is a predicted model, not a curated record. NCBI's taxonomy places the organism in Eukaryota, Viridiplantae, Streptophyta, Magnoliopsida, Poales, Poaceae.
GGCUCGUUUCCAUCGGCGGGCCUGGAGGACAGGCGCGGGACCACCGGUCGAGCGCGUCUCGGGGCGGCGGCGGCGGCUUGGCCGUGGUGGCAGUGGCAGAUUUCCAACCGCCUCCGCGUCUCCGCUCACAUGCGAAGCCAUUGCUAUUCACCUCCGGACGGGCGAGGAAGAACGCGGCGUUGGAUUUUCGCAGGAGGAUAUGCUCAGUGAAAGAACCGCCUUCUCUCACCUGUCAAAAAAAAAGAACUGCCUUCUCUCGGCGAAUCCAACAAAUUUCUGCAGUGAAAUUGGGCACGGGUCGCCUCCGAACUUGGCAGGCCGUACCGGAAUCGCGCACUUCCUUCUGCCUAGGCAAGCCUGAAGCAAUAAAACAAGCACCCAAGUUUUUAGGAUUGCAGUGGUAAUAGGAUAGUGCAUUAUGAUAUCAGCAUGUAACUUCUGGAAGGACAGAGGGCUUUACAUCCUUUACGACAAACUCCGUUGUCUCUGCGUGGCAACUCCCGAGGCAGCUCCUGCUAGAGCUUCUGCAGUCCUCAGCCGGAUUUCCGUAGCUCGCAAACUCAAUAUCCGUGAUGCGUUUGCCUUGCUGACACCGGAGCCGAACUGCUGGGUGCUUUCUGCGUGACAAGAGUGAUGGGGUGGAUAACUCAUUCACACUACUGUAUACUCGGGUAACCGACAUUGUGUUCACGCUUAUCUGUAGCGGAUCACCACCCAUUUCCUCCAUGAGGACGAGGGUGUUCUCUCUAGGCUUCAGAAAGUAUUGUGGUACGUGGUACCUUCAGAAAAGACAAGCGAAUGAGACAUCAGUUGCUGUUCAUCAUUCGAGUUCAAGAAAGGAAUUUGUGUUGUUAGUAGUAAAACUAGUUAUAGUACUGACAAGGACUGGGAUGGUUGUCCGCUAGGGGUUUUGAAGGAGGCCCAAUACCGUCCGAUGCUCUCUCCAUUGAUCCACACCUCACCCUUCCCCAUACUGCUGAGGUUCAGCGUGACUGGGUCAUUCCCCCAUGGUGUGUCAAAUGUCGUCUGCACCAAAUGACGACAAUUUCCCAAAGCUGUCGGUUACUGUCACUGUGGAAUAAACAUGUAAUUGAAGUCUGUCAGGAAUUAAAGACUUAUGUACAUUUGAUGUACCUUGUACCAGAUAAGUGGAAGGUGCAUGGACUUAUUGAUGGCAGUCCAUUGCGCACGAGAUGAUCCUUCCGGUGUGUAUAUAUUAUUCAUUUCUCCAGAUAAGCCAAUCUGCACAAAGCUCAUUAUUCAGAGAAUGUGAUUUGUGAUCUCCCUGUUGUAUGCUCACUUUACGAACUCCAAAAAUUCUUCGCUCCAUGUACGCUCCAGAGUCCUUUACUUGUUAGAGUAAAACUCAGUCCAUUGCAAAUAGUAGGUCUGCAAUGGCUGAAGAACUGAGGGUAGUUGGCUCACCUUGGCUGUUUCAAAUACUACCCUCCUGCAACUUGAGAGGAUACUUAUUGAUUUAGGAGCUAGCUGGAAUGAUGCUUCACCAAAUUGGAUAUUUGAUGUUUUAUGCUUGUCCAAGUUCACUAGGAAAGCCACACAGUUGGACUCAGUUUCAAAAACAUGUCCCUGUAGUACGCCAAAAGUUAGCCGCAUAAUUUUACUGAAAAAAAAGUAUACCUAGUUUCCUUUCACUCUGCACACAAAUUCACCUCUUGUUGCUCACCAAAUGAGUAAGUAGAAUAUGAUCCUGAAAGUAGUGGUUCUUCAGAUUGCUUUACUGCAGCAUGCAAUUCUCUCAGAUGAGACCAUGUUGAUUGCCAUAUUAAACCUGGAUGUAUGCUUGGUAGUUCAAACAUCAAUAUGUAUAUAUUUAAUCAAUUAUCGUGUUCUCCAAAAUUAGUGUUUUCAAGAUCUUCCAUUGAUGUAGAUUUCACAGAUCAUCAGUUUCUAACUAGACAUGUUACAUGGUUUGAUUUUAUGUGCCUUCCUGGUGGAGUAUGCUCAUGUUAUAAUAUUUAAUUUACAAGAAUUUUGAAUAGUCGCUUUUAAAAUAUGUCAAAGAUAGCUUGCAACGGUAGAAAUACUUGCCAUAUUCGUCAAGUGGAGCUCCAUCAUAGUAGCUUGUUGUUACAUAGGAGGAUGCAAACCUCCCGAAGUUUGUCCCGCCAUGAUACUGCAUCAUAAUCCGUAAUUGUAUGAGAUCAUGAAUGAAAUACUAAACAUAUUUACUGAGAGAUCUUAGGGAAGCUUCUUAAAGUUUCCUUGUAAGCUGUACCAUGUAGUAGCUUACAAAGCUUCCUUUUUUUCUUGCUAUAAAAAGUGCAACUGCAAAGGCAAUAUCUGCUGGUGAUCUGUAUCUUGGGUCAUGACCAUAUAAAGGAUAGCUGUAUGCAGAGAAACUUGCAAUGUUAGGCCUUAUAUGGUUAUACCCCUGGGAAUGUGAAAGAUCCUCAGAGAAAAAGCAAAGAGUGUUUGUCGCACCGAGAUGUCCAAUUUUCGGUCCAUAAAGCUGGCUUGUUUGGCUUAUUUGGCCCAAUAAAUGUUUCCCCGCAGAUGAGCCCGUUGCAGGUAUUAAUCUAACCAUGUAAUAAAUGUUACACUGCUUUCAAAUUGUGGAUAAUCUGCAAUCCUGCAUAAUGGUAUAAGAAAGGGCACUGACGAUGGGAUCUGGAGCAUCGUCUUGUUUGCACAUCAUCCAUGGAACGCCGGUCUGAAGGUUUACAGCCAUUGCUGCUGCCCAGCGAACAUAAGGUGGUCCCCUUGAAUGAAAUGCUCCCUCGACUAGCUUAUAUUCGUUCUCGAUCUGCAUUUUAAAUUUUAGGGUUGCACAAAAAGAUCAGCUAAUACAGAGCACGAGGGUCAAGUAUUGUUCAACUGAAAUACCUGUGAUAUGAUUAUGGGACCUCCUUGUGGAUAGUAUAAUUUUUCAUCCUUCAUCAUGUUAACUAUUUUAGCAACAAACUUUUGCAUAUGUACCUGCACGUAUUCAAUAUUUAAGUACGAUUCAUCUACCAUGAUAGUUUAGCAUGACGUAAUGUCGCUCUAUGGUGCUUGUGCAGUUAGGAUUACACGGACAAUUCAUAAUCUGGUUUUGCAAACCAAACAGUCUAUAUUCUUGUAGAUGCAUCUUUUCAGUUUUCUUGCACUGUUUGUUUCUGGCAGUGAGGUUGGUAAGUCUGUAUCACUGUAUGCAAUAUACUACUCUCACCUCAUAUAUAGUCUGGCCUCAUAGACAUCUGUUUUCACCUAUGUAUUAUGAUUUUACCUCACAAUCAUUUGUCAUUUCAUUUGUGCUUGCUUAAAAUGCAUCCUGUGGCUAUUUUGGUUAUGCUAAUGGGUUUCUGAGGGUAGUAUGAUGUUUUACAAGCUAGAACUACGAUGAAAAAAUAUUCUGAAUAUUUGGUAAUACUAUAACUCAUUUUACCAUGUGAACAGAGGAUUGAAGGAAACAAGAAAUUAUAUUUCUAUUCUGAAUAAUCCCGCUGCAGCAAGAUUCUGUAUGUUAUAUGGUUGACCAUAUCAUUGUUCUAGGCUUCAAAGGCACUGUGUUGGGUAGUUGAUACCUUGUAGGGUUCAUUGUCGCAUCUGAAGGUAAUGUUUGGGACACCGCGCAACCAAAAUGGCAAGCCUCUGCAUGAAUAAAAGAUCUAGUAAAAGCUUUACAUGUUGAGGACACCACAGAAAUGAAACUCUUCUCUGAAAUUCAUGUUGGAAAUGCACUUCAUCAUCUCAUUACCCGUAUUUCCAUUCUGCCUCGAUGAAUGGGCCGACCCGGAGGCUCACAUAGAGGCCUUGAGCAUGGAUUUCUCUGAUGAACUUCACAAGAUCGUAUCUUCCUUCGAAGUUGUACUGGGAGCACCCACCUGACCUUGGAUAGGCUCAUGGACAUUCCAGAAGACGUAUGUCUGUAUGACAUCCAGGCCACCUUCCCUGGCGCUCUCUAUGAGUCUUGGCCACAUCUGCUAAUUGGAUUGUACAUUAGUUUGAAGGAAAGGAACUGAGGUUUUCUGCUUCAUACAGUAUGAUUCGUGGCGCAUGCUUGAUUGCUUGAUUGCUUACUGUAUGUAUGUAUGUAUGUAUUGACUGAACUAAUUUGAUUGCUGGGUGAAACUUUAACUGAACUAAUCUGUUUAUCUAGUGAGUUAGAUUUUCUGCUGUAGUGUACUAGCAAUCAAGAAUUUACUUUAAUUAAAAAAUGCUUGAAAUGAUGUCUUAUUUGGGGUUGACAGUUACGGCAGCAUUUACCUGUCACUCUUCCAUGUUGGAUGAAAAAGUGAGACGCACUGA